GGGGGAGAAGUGGUGAACAAAGGUGGAGAAAAGAAGAAAGAAGUGAUGAACAAAGGGGGAGAAUGGUAAAAGAAUCAAUUGAAUGUAAAACUUUAUAUUAUUGUGGAAUGUUUUGCAGGACUUCAAGACUUCAAGACUCCUAGUUGCGUCUAUGUCAUAGAGUCUGUUUUAGGAGUUUUGAAUAUAUUUUGAGUUUUAAUUUGUAUUUGGAUUACACGCGAGAGGUUCAUUGUUUUGGUGAUAACAUAGAACUUCGUUUUUCUUUUACAUGUAAUGUUUGUGCUUUGAGUGUGUUUUGUCACGAAAUUGCCAAAGGGGGAGAUUGUUAGGUUCUAUGUGUUGGCAAGUUUCGUGGGUCGAGUCAGAGUCUUGAAGAAGUCUGGAGCGGAGUAUUGAAGAUCGAAGAA
Molecule: long non-coding RNA, 407 nt
Filed under: Ananas comosus (pineapple)
Lineage: Eukaryota; Viridiplantae; Streptophyta; Magnoliopsida; Poales; Bromeliaceae
Description: long non-coding RNA (ACOM_LNC038089)
Source: RNAcentral